GAGUGAAAGCGGGUCAAACAAGUCAAGCAUGGAAGAAAAGCGUAGCUCGGAUGCAAGGUACACCUUGGAUGCCGGAAGACGAUCAAGCUCAGCGAAGAACCGAACACGAUAAUGAUACACGCUUCCGCAUUUUGCUACGUUGUAAUUUUUAAACAACGAAUUCGAUCACGUUAUGUAGAAUAACUUAUGAUUUAUUAAAAGUUUUAAUAAACCCGUAUUUCCAAAUGUUUAUGUAAUCUUAAAUACAUGAUUGUUUUACGUAAAA
Molecule: long non-coding RNA, 265 nt
Organism: Helianthus annuus (common sunflower)
Lineage: Eukaryota; Viridiplantae; Streptophyta; Magnoliopsida; Asterales; Asteraceae
Exons: 2
Source: RefSeq, a predicted model, not a curated record